Molecule: long non-coding RNA, 2830 nt
Filed under: Glycine max (soybean)
Lineage: Eukaryota; Viridiplantae; Streptophyta; Magnoliopsida; Fabales; Fabaceae
Description: long non-coding RNA (GMAX_LNC002079)
Source: RNAcentral
GAGUGAGGGUGGAUACCUAAGGUGAGUCCAGGUUGUGGACAUGCAGGGUAGCAGUUCACGGCGAGUGUCUGUGAGCCUCCAUUGAUUUCUUCAUGUAGGUAACUACGGUUUAACCCUAGGCUUUCAAAAAUGAUUUCCAAUAGUUGAUUUUGUAGAACUUGCACUGCUUUUACGUACUUUCCCAUCUUCUCCCUGUUAGCAUGUCAUUGUUGUGCAUAUUUUUAAUUAGGACUAGGGCAAUGAUAUGGACAUGAAUUUGAAAAGCUUUCAUCAUGGAAGCGGCAAAAUGGUUUCAAUUAUGAUAAGUCUAUUUGUGGUAUAAUGGUUUCAUAUUGUUGCUGGAUAAAAUUUUGGCAUUUGAAAAGGUCUAUAUAUAUGAAAGCAAUUUUUUUUCCUACAUAGUUUUUUUUCCACACCAUUUAACUUUUACAUCAUAUAUCUAUACACUCAUUCUUUUAUUGUAGAAAAGGAGGAGAGGUAAUUAAGCUCUGUAAAAUUUAUCUUCCCUCAGUUGGAUGGGUGUAAAGAUUACUGAUGUAAAAAUUGAGGUGUGUAAAAGAAUCAAAGACACAGUUUUAAGAAUAAUUAAUUAGGAUCAUAUAUAUUUUCAUACCUCCCUUUUCUUGUUGUACUCUAUCCCACACUUAGCUUUUAAUGAUAUAAAAAAAAUCAUUUUGCCUUAAAAUAUAUUUUCUUGGGUUUCUCAUAUUUUUAUAUAUUUUACCUUUAGUGCAAAUAGCAAGUAGGGGUGGGGUAGUGUGAGAAAAGGGAUCGUGGGAGAAAUAUUUUUCAAAGGUUUGUAACGAACUAACGAUACCUGUAAUUCGAUGGAUUUGAAGGCCACAUGUGAAUCCAAUCCGAUAUUGGAUAAGAGUAGUGUUUGAUGAAAUCUCUCCAGCAGUAAACUUCAUCCCUAGCUUGGUUAAGACUUGUUCCAUACCUUACAGGUUUGUGAACAUCUUGAGAAAAUAAACGCAUCUUUUCAUCAUUAGGGAGGUUGAAGAACUCUGUUGCGACUUCUAGGGCUUCAUCCAUUACUGAUUGAUCAAUUUCAUGGUUAAUAACCUACAAAAAUACAUAAGUCGUUUGUAAAUGUAAUAUUACAGUAUAAAAGUCACCAUAGAAAUAAAAUAAGUCUAAUUGUCUCCUCUAAAUUUAGCUCACUUUGAAGCAAGGGGUGUCGUCUUCGCUUUUAAAAAAACUACAUACUUAUCCACACACUCAGCCAACUCCUAUAUAUACACAAAUAUAUAUGCAAAUAUGCACGUUCAUGUGUAUGCUUGGUGUUCACUAGCAAAUUUGUAUGAUUUGUAAUUGGUCAUGUGUUACCAGAAAUUGGGACUUAUAUAGGAAAAAAAAAGGAAAUCAGAAUUGUAAUUAUGAUUGGUGGAAUCAGACAUAUUGAAUAAAAUAAUUGUUUUUAGAUAAGCAUAUUGAAUAAAAUAAUUGUUUAUAUAAAAUGUUUUUGCUUUUACUUUUCUAAACUACUUUAUAUAUAUAUAUAUAUAUAUAUAUAUAUAUAUAUGAUCCUUUUACAUGAGACAAGAGGAAGAUGAAAUAAUUUUUUUAUAAAGUGAUUAUAUGAUUUUUAAUUUUGGUUAUAUAUUUAUUUACGGUUCCUAUAUAUUUAUAUUUUUUUAACUUAAAAAAAAUAGUUUCUUACUAAAUUCAUUAUAUGUUAGCUCUUAUAAUUUAUAAAUAAAUAUGUACAAAUGUAUAUAUCUGCAUGCAUAUGCACGUGUAUUUUUGGUUGUAUUAGAAAAGUUGCAUGCAUGAUAUAUUAGAAAAGUUGCAUGCAUGAUAUACAAAAUGAGCGUGUGCUAUACCUGAAAGCAACCAAUCUCCUUGCAGGCAAUUCCAAUUUCAUCGAUCGUUCUAGAUAUAACAGAUUGAUCCCACAAAGUAGACAAAUCUAUAAUGGGAAGAGUGGUGGAGAUCAUGGGAACAUGAGGGCUAGGACGUUGUGAUGGUGGAAGAACAUAACGUUGAGGUAUAGAAGACACUCCAAGCUUGUCAAGACUCACAGCACUAGUAAAAGAUGAAGCACUAUGAUCUCCCUCCAUUGUCUCUCUUCCCAAAUCUUAUAUUUUCAAAUGGUAUUGAAUUGAGAUACCGAGCUAAUCAUCAAGAUCUAUUUAUAAGCCUCCAAGUGGAUAUGUUACGUUGAUCACGAUAGUCCUCUAUCCACAUUUCUUUAAGUUGUUCAAUUCACUUAAAUUGUGCAUGCAAGAAAGUACAAAAAAAAGAUUUUCGUUCAGAACACGAGUGUGGAUUAAAUGAUCAUAGUUGCCCCAGAUCUGAGAGUGAUGGGAAUUGAAGUCAAAACGGGAUAAAAGAAGAGCAGAUAGUGAUGAAAGAAUUUUGAUAAAUAUAUUGGUCCAAUAUUCUUACGGCGCUAGUGCUAGUGGGGUUUGCUUGUUUGCGAUUUUUUUAUUGGAGAAAUGUUAGGGCUUUGUACGAGUCCAUGCUGUGGCACUAAGGAUCGUUGGCUUGUUUUGACUUUGUAUGCAAAUCAGCAGUUUAGAACGUGCCUCGCGGAGUAUCUUUGCGGUUUGUGUUUAAUCAGAGAGAUACCUAAGACGAGUCAAUUAAAAAAUAGAGUUUAUAUUAUUUGGGGAUGAAUGUGUACAUUAUAUUUGUCCUCGAAAUUAUCCAAGAACUGAUCCUCGUUCACGGUACAUUAUCUUGGGUUUCUCAUAUCCUCGUUCAACGUAUCUACAGAUAGACCUCUGUUGGACUAAAAUCAUAAUAGAGCUAAAUGGUUGUUGCGGCUGUUUUGAAUAUUGUUUUCCUUUUUUUUUUUUCUGGUACAUGAACAUGUGGCUUUGGA